GCCGAAAACCUAAGGUUUCCUCAGGAAGGUUCGUCCGCUGAGGGUUAGUCGGGACCUAAGCCGAGGCCGAAAGGCGUAGGUGAUGGACAACUGGUUGAUAUUCCAGUACCACUACCAUCGUUAUUAUCGAUGGCGUGACGCAGGAGGAUAGUGUGUGCUAGCUAUUGGAUGCUAGUCUAAGCGUUUAGGCAGUGAGAGUAGGCAAAUCCGCUCUCAUAAUGCUGAGGCGUGAUGGGGAAGGUUCCACGGAACCGAAGU
Molecule: ribosomal RNA, 258 nt
Filed under: Staphylococcus aureus
Lineage: Bacteria; Bacillati; Bacillota; Bacilli; Caryophanales; Staphylococcaceae
Description: partial 23S ribosomal RNA
Rfam family: Bacterial large subunit ribosomal RNA
Source: RNAcentral